Molecule: RNase P RNA, 399 nt
Filed under: Acidobacteriota bacterium
Lineage: Bacteria; Pseudomonadati; Acidobacteriota
Description: Acidobacteria bacterium RNase P RNA component class A
Rfam family: Bacterial RNase P class A
About the family: Ribonuclease P (RNase P) is a ubiquitous endoribonuclease, found in archaea, bacteria and eukarya as well as chloroplasts and mitochondria. Its best characterised activity is the generation of mature 5'-ends of tRNAs by cleaving the 5'-leader elements of precursor-tRNAs.
Source: RNAcentral
CAGCCGGACCGGACGGUCGCUCUCUUCGUCUUCGGACGAGGGGAGAGGAAAGUCCGAACUCCGCAGAGCAAUGUGCCGGAUAACGUCCGGGAGGCCGGGUUCAAGCAUGGUCGACGGAAAGUGCCACAGAAAGCAUGCCGCCGGCGACGCCGGGGUAAGGGUGAAAAGGUGCGGUAAGAGCGCACCGCCGCCACAGUAAUGCGGCGGGCAGGGCAAACCCCACACGGAGCAAGACCAAAUAGGGAGGGAGCCUGGCUUCGGCCGGGCACGUGCCGGCUCGGUGCGUCACAACCUCCGGGUAGGUCGCUAGAGCCGCGCAGCAAUGCGCGGCCCAGAGGAAUGGCCGUCCUGCCGGUUUCGGCCGGCGGACAGAAUUCGGCUUACAGGUCCGGCUGCUAC